This 493-nucleotide ribosomal RNA is filed under the name uncultured bacterium. RNAcentral describes it as "partial 16S ribosomal RNA". It matches the Rfam family "Bacterial small subunit ribosomal RNA", at positions 28 to 523 of the family's 1533-position model. The record is from RNAcentral.
GAUGAACGCUGGCGGCGUGCCUAACACAUGCAAGUCGAACGAAGCACCUUGCCUGAUUCUUCGGAUGAAGGUCUGGUGACUGAGUGGCGGACGGGUGAGUAACGCGUGGGUAACCUGCCCUGUACAGGGGGAUAACAGUUGGAAACGGCUGCUAAUACCGCAUAAGCGCACGAGAGGACAUCCUUUUGCGUGAAAAACUCCGGUGGUACAGGAUGGGCCCGCGUCUGAUUAGCCAGUUGGCAGGGUAACGGCCUACCAAGGCGACGAUCAGUAGCCGGUCUGAGAGGAUGAACGGCCACAUUGGAACUGAGACACGGUCCAAACUCCUACGGGAGGCAGCAGUGGGGAAUAUUGCACAAUGGGGGAAACCCUGAUGCAGCAACGCCGCGUGAGUGAAGAAGUAUUUCGGUAUGUAAAGCUCUAUCAGCAGGGAAGAUAAUGACGGUACCUGACUAAGAAGCUCCGGCUAAAUACGUGCCAGCAGCCGCGGUAA